This 217-nucleotide long non-coding RNA is filed under the name Elaeis guineensis (African oil palm). RNAcentral's name for it is "long non-coding RNA (EGUI_LNC034936)". Lineage: Eukaryota; Viridiplantae; Streptophyta; Magnoliopsida; Arecales; Arecaceae. The record is from RNAcentral.
CUUCUUAUUAAAAUAGAAAGAGAUCACGUUCAGCAUAUUGCUUCUGUGAUUUAUUCUGACUUUGAAAAAAAUUCACUGAUCCUACAUAUCUGAAAGAAAAAGCUAUCAUUACACCUACAAAUGAAAUAACGGAUGAAAUAAAUAUGUAUAUGCUUUCUUUGUUUUCUGGUGAAGAAAAUUUUUUUUUGAGCUUCGAUUCAAUAUAUCAAACAUCGGC